GAUGAACGCUGGCGGCGUGCCUAAUACAUGCAAGUCGAGCGAACAGAUGAGGAGCUUGCUCCUCUGACGUUAGCGGCGGACGGGUGAGUAACACGUGGAUAACCUACCUAUAAGACUGGGAUAACUUCGGGAAACCGGAGCUAAUACCGGAUAAUAUAUUGAACCGCAUGGUUCAAUAGUGAAAGACGGUUUUGCUGUCACUUAUAGAUGGAUCCGAGCCGCAUUAGCUAGUUGGUAAGGUAACGGCUUACCAAGGCAACGAUGCGUAGCCGACCUGAGAGGGUGAUCAGCCACACUGGAACUGAGACACGGUCCAGACUCCUACGGGAGGCAGCAGUAGGGAAUCUUCCGCAAUGGGCGAAAGCCUGACGGAGCAACGCCGCGUGAGUGAUGAAGGUCUUCGGAUCGUAAAACUCUGUUAUUAGGGAAGAACAAAUGUGUAAGUAACUAUGCACGUCUUGACGGUACCUAAUCAGAAAGCCACGGCUAACUACGUG
RNAcentral lists this ribosomal RNA (497 nucleotides) under uncultured bacterium. RNAcentral's name for it is "partial 16S ribosomal RNA". It matches the Rfam family "Bacterial small subunit ribosomal RNA", at positions 28 to 507 of the family's 1533-position model. The record is from RNAcentral.